Molecule: ribosomal RNA, 444 nt
Filed under: uncultured soil bacterium
Lineage: Bacteria
Description: bacterial SSU rRNA
Rfam family: Bacterial small subunit ribosomal RNA
Source: RNAcentral
AGAACGAACGCUGGCGGCAUGCCUAAUACAUGCAAGUCGAACGAACUCUUCGGAGUUAGUGGCGCACGGGUGCGUAACGCGUGGGAAUCUGCCCCUUGGUUCGGAAUAACAGUUGGAAACGACUGCUAAUACCGGAUGAUGACGAAAGUCCAAAGAUUUAUCGCCAAGGGAUGAGCCCGCGUAGGAUUAGCUAGUUGGUGAGGUAAAGGCUCACCAAGGCAACGAUCCUUAGCUGGUCUGAGAGGAUGAUCAGCCACACUGGGACUGAGACACGGCCCAGACUCCUACGGGAGGCAGCAGUAGGGAAUAUUGGACAAUGGGCGAAAGCCUGAUCCAGCAAUGCCGCGUGAGUGAUGAAGGCCUUAGGUUGUAAAGCUCUUUUACCCGAGAUGAUAAUGACAGUAUCGGAGAAUAAGCCCCGGCUAACUCCGUGCCAGCAGCCGC